RNAcentral lists this ribosomal RNA (440 nucleotides) under uncultured bacterium. Its description in RNAcentral is "partial 16S ribosomal RNA". It matches the Rfam family "Bacterial small subunit ribosomal RNA", at positions 338 to 795 of the family's 1533-position model. The record is from RNAcentral.
CCUACGGGAGGCAGCAGUGGGGAAUAUUGGACAAUGGGGGAAACCCUGAUCCAGCGACGCCGCGUGAGUGAAGAAGUACUUCGGUAUGUAAAGCUCUAUCAGCAGGAAAGAAAAUUACGGUACCUGACUAAGAAGCCCCGGCUAACUACGUGCCAGCAGCCGCGGUAAUACGUAGGGGGCAAGCGUUAUCCGGAUUUACUGGGUGUAAAGGGAGCGUAGACGGCAGCGCAAGUCUGGGGUGAAAUGCCGGGGCCCAACCCCGGAACUGCCUUGGAAACUGGGAAGCUGGAGUGCAGGAGAGGUAAGCGGAAUUCCUGGUGUAGCGGUGAAAUGCGUAGAUAUCAGGAGGAACACCGGCGGCGAAGGCGGCUUACUGGACUGUAACUGACGUUGAGGCUCGAAGGCGUGGGGAGCAAACAGGAUUAGAUACCCUGGUAGUC